UUUUUUGGGCUCCCUCCUUCAGGAGGAGGUGGAGGGGCGGUUCUGGUCGGAAGUCCCGUAGUUUCUGUAUGCUAAUGGGGGGAGUUGGGGGUUGUAGCUACAUAUUUACGUUCAGCGGGAGCCGCCCUUCAUUCACCCACAUGGUUACCAACCGCUCGCAUUCGCGCCACUUUCCUCCACCCCGCAAUCAUCUCCGAGAAGCCUCUCCCCUCCUCGAGGUUCCGACCCAGAGCUGGGCUCGGUUUCGGCGCGGCGGUGUAAAAGUUUACCCGUUAUUUUUGUCUCUUUUGUUGUUGUUUUUUUUUUCUGGGCUCGGCGAGCUUUGAGCAAGCGGAGCGAAGAUGGAGGAUCUCGGCUGGGUGAGCGCAUGUUUAUCGGCGCGUCUAAGACGCCCAUGUGUGGUUGUGAGGAUGGUGGUCGCAGCGCGGAUAUGCCCGUGUUUUUAUCGGGGCUAAUGGCAGCUAGCAGGGGGGUCCACCAUGAGGUUCUGGGACAACAACCAUGAAGAUCUUCCAUGUGGUGCUGUGGAUCCUCAGUCUAUGUAUUGUCAAAGUGCUUACAGUGCAGGUAGUGCUACGUGAUACCUACUGCAGUGGAGGCACUUUCAGCAAUACCCUGACACUCUUUUAUUUUUCUUCGAUCUUUGUUACCUGUGAUUUCUGUUUGACGUACUGUCUUUGUGCUAAGGUGCAUCUAGUGCAGAUAGUGAAAUAGACUAGCACCUACUGCCCUAAGUGCUCCUUCUGGCAUAAGGGGCUGUGAUAUGCACCGCCAGGGCCUCACUUUUUUGUUUURAAAUUCCUAAUUGGACUCAAACAUCUUGCAGUUCUCUGCUAGUUUUGCAUAGUUGCACUACAAGAAUACAUGAGUUGUGCAAAUCUAUGCAAAACUGAUGGUGGCCUGCUUGCUCUACACCUGUUCAGAUUUAUUUGUUUGUUUGUUUUUUAAGUUGUUACUGUAAACAUUUAUUACAUGAUGUAAUUAAAAAAAGGGUGACUUGUUUCUGGUUGCGGUCCAGGUGACUUCAGUUCCAGCGGUACUAAAGUGCUUAUAGUGCAGGUAGUGGUCUGAUUCUCAUCUACUGCAAUGUGAGCACUUGAAGUAUUUCUAACUGUAUCCUCCCUGCGGCCCGAGGCGAGUGGUCGGCGACGAAAUCUGUUGCUCGGUCAGUUUUGCUGGUUUGCAUCCAGCUUUUACAGAUGUGCGCUGUGCAAAUCCAUGCAAAACUGAGCGGGCCGGCGGGCUGUGCUGCGACGUGGAGCUUACUUUUUGGUGUGUGUUUUUUGUGUGGCCUCGGAUGUCCUGUCCUGUGCAGGUGGGGAUUAGUAGCAAUGCUGUGCUCCUGGAGGUAUUGCACUUGUCCCGGCCUGUAAAGGAACAGGGAGCUGACCUCUGAUCUGUCGUUCGAUUGCAGUAAAUUUGUGGUUUUUUUGUCUUGUUAAAAGUGUCUUUUUUUAGGUACCAAAUUGUGAUUAUUGUGUUCGGUUUGAAUAAAAAUUAAAUUAAAAUGUAAAAAGCAAUUUUCCUUUAUUUGUUUUCUGUAGUUUUAAAAUAAAAAGCCUUGUUUUGAAGGUAAUCUUA
Long non-coding RNA from Austrofundulus limnaeus, 1581 nucleotides. RefSeq lists it as uncharacterized. The transcript has 3 exons. The record is from RefSeq and is a predicted model, not a curated record. Lineage: Eukaryota; Metazoa; Chordata; Actinopteri; Cyprinodontiformes; Rivulidae.